GCAUAUCAAUAAGCGGAGGAAAAGAAACCAACCGGGAUUGCCCUAGUAACGGCGAGUGAAGCGGCAAGAGCUCAAAUUUGAAAGCUGGCUCCUUCGGGGUCCGCAUUGUAAUUUGCAGAGGAUGCUUCGGGAGCGGUCCCCAUCUAAGUGCCCUGGAACGGGCCGUCAUAGAGGGUGAGAAUCCCGUAUGGGAUGGGGUGCCCGCGCCCGUGUGAAGCUCCUUCGACGAGUCGAGUUGUUUGGGAAUGCAGCUCUAAUUGGGUGGUAAAUUUCAUCUAAAGCUAAAUAUUGGCCGGAGACCGAUAGCGCACAAGUAGAGUGAUCGAAAGAUGAAAAGCACUUUGAAAAGAGAGUUAAACAGCACGUGAAAUUGUUGAAAGGGAAGCGCUUGCGAUCAGACUCGCUCGCGGGGUUCAGCCGGCCUUCGGGCCGGUGUACUUCCCCGCGGGCGGGCCAGCGUCGGUUUGGGCGGCCGGUCAAAGGCCCCUGGAAUGUAACGCCUCUCGGGGCGUCUUAUAGCCAGGGGUGCCAUGCGGCCUGCCCGGACCGAGGAACGCGCUUCGGCUCGGACGCUGGCAUAAUGGUCGUAAGCGACCCGUCUUGAAACACGGACCAAGGAGUCUAACAUCUACGCGAGUGUUCGGGUGUCAAACCCGUGCGCGCAGUGAAAGCGAACGGAGGUGGGAACCCCUCGGGGUGCACCAUCGACCGAUCCUGAUGUCUUCGGAUGGAUUUGAGUAAGAGCGUAGCUGUUGGGACCCGAAAGAUGGUGAACUAUGCCUGAAUAGGGCGAAGCCAGAGGAAACUCUGGUGGAGGCUCGCAGCGGUUCUGACGUGCAAAUCGAUCGUCAAAUUUGGGUAUAGGGGCGAAAGACUAAUCGAACCAUCUAGUAGCUGGUUCCUGCCGAAGU
RNAcentral lists this ribosomal RNA (911 nucleotides) under Penicillium westlingii. RNAcentral describes it as "LSU rRNA". It matches the Rfam family "Eukaryotic large subunit ribosomal RNA", at positions 38 to 967 of the family's 3401-position model. The record is from RNAcentral. Lineage: Eukaryota; Fungi; Ascomycota; Eurotiomycetes; Eurotiales; Aspergillaceae.